UACGUAGGGGGCUAGCGUUGUCCGGAAUCAUUGGGCGUAAAGCGCGUGUAGGCGGCCCGGUAAGUCCGCUGUGAAAGUCGGGGGCUCAACCCUCGAAAGCCGGUGGAUACUGUCGGGCUAGAGUACGGAAGAGGCGAGUGGAAUUCCUGGUGUAGCGGUGAAAUGCGCAGAUAUCAGGAGGAACACCCAUUGCGAAGGCAGCUCGCUGGGACGUUACUGACGCUGAGGCGCGAAAGCGUGGGGAGCAAACAGG
Molecule: ribosomal RNA, 253 nt
Filed under: uncultured bacterium
Lineage: Bacteria
Description: partial 16S ribosomal RNA
Rfam family: Bacterial small subunit ribosomal RNA
Source: RNAcentral